CACACUAACAACAGUCACCGUGAACCGGCCGGGAGGACUCCGCCUGCGCCCGCGCCUACUGCUGAGCCAUAUUACCAUACGGCCGGUCAGAGGUUGGAGGGUUCAAGUUCCCGCUUCACAAACGGGUUGGUGAAGUUUCUGGAGGUCUGCUUUCGCUUGAAUAUUUGUAUUUAAUUAUUUCAACCAGUUUUACAGCCGAUACGCGCUAAAGAGAGGACGCAAAACCACACACGUAACUAAACCGGCGCGGACACCACGAAGAGGUAGAAUGAUGAUGUACGUGUGAGAUGUUGAUGUGCUUUGGGUGCAAGUGGAAAAAGUAAGGAGCUGCGACCCUAAGCUCUUUUCUAAGGCCCCCCCUGAGGUAAUCAGAAAACCAGGGGACUGAAGGAAGUGAAGUUAUGGUGUUCUGGUGUUCCCAGAUGAGCUGGUGAAGAAGGGGGACAGGUCAGUUCCACUGAUAGUCCACUGCCAGGGAUAAAUCAAGUAACUGAACAGACCAGCCUGGCCCCAGUUACAGAUCUUAGGCCAUCCUCAGAUGUCUGAUGUGACUUUGUGAGUCUGAAGACGGUUGUCCACUUGACAUCGGAGAAUGAUCUGAGGAUGGGCCUGUCUGUGUGGGCCAUUGUGGCCAUCGUUUGUAACUCGGUGGUGAGUGUCCUAAUCCUCAUCCUCUUUGUCAUCCUCUGCAAGGCUUGCAAGGUGCCUUCACACCCAGAGAAAGUGCCAGUUAUCACAGUGAAGCCACAGCAGAGGAAUGCAGAGAAGAAGUAACUGCUGAGUGUGCCCUAGUCCUGACUUAAGACAGAAACAAAAUUCAACUUUGCGGAUCUGCUAGAGGUCUAAUAUUGACCUCCACAAUGACAGAAGACAAGCUGAACCCUGAUAUUUGAUAAUCUUUGUUUUUCCUCUUCCUCUUCAACAGUUAUUUUCAUUUAGUAGCACCUUUUAUCUUACAUACUGUUCACAUCUCUCCGCCAUCAACCCCACUUUAUCUGUACUAUCCAGUGGAGCUCAGAGUAAGCCAACUGUGUUAAUAGCUGUGGCAAGACCAACAUCAACGACAACAAGCAGGCCCAAUCCUCUUAUCUCUGCUGUGAGUCACUGGGACUGACCAUCUGUGAGCUUUGCCCUACACAAGGAAGACCACUGCAUUCUUUGUCAUCCCUCCAUAUGAACCUACUGAGAGGAUGUGGGGGACAAAGCGCAGCAACACAGUGAAUACAAGUAUUUUGGGUGACAGAGUUGGUUGAGAGUCACAAUAACUGGUUAGAAAAAGAGAAAAUGUAGCUCUGCAACUUUCAAGUGGCAUGGUGUUUGCCAGGUGCAGCACUAAAGACGGCAGCAACAGAUGACAGGCAGACACCAAAAGCCUGAAAGAUUCAAGAAGGAGAGAGACGCUGCUGGAGGACAGAUGGUGAUAAAGUGCAGAUAUUUGGUGGGGAUGAUAAAGUGCAGGGGAGGAAUCGUGGAGGGGAUGCUUUGAUGUGCUGUUUACAGAAAAGGGAGCUCCAGGCCUGUUUGACUAUCUCCCCAGCCGACACACAAGCCUCUUCCUCCGCCAGUCUGAUUCCCACGGGACUAAAAGUAACAGCAAAAAUGUUACUUGUGCCUCUCUUUCAUUUUGUGAGCUCAUUUAUAGACUGACAGAAAUGGUAGACUGACUGAACACUCACUGCCUCACAUUAAGAAGUGACUGUUAUAAGCAAAUGUGCUGCAGCUACAAACUGUGUCAUAUCAACAUUUUCUUAAGGAAAGAGGAGAGAGAUGAGAGACACCAGACAGGAUGACAAAAUGAGCCAAUCAGAAUGAGGUCCACAUUCAAAUACAAACUGCUACACAUACAGUGGGUACGGAAAGUAUUC
This is a long non-coding RNA of Monopterus albus (swamp eel), 1865 nucleotides long. RefSeq lists it as uncharacterized. The transcript is spliced from 3 exons. Lineage: Eukaryota; Metazoa; Chordata; Actinopteri; Synbranchiformes; Synbranchidae. The record is from RefSeq and is a predicted model, not a curated record.